GACCGCGUAGCUCAGUUGGCAGAGCAUUGGACUAGUAUUCCAAAGGUCUCGGGUUCGAUUCCCAACGCGGUCG
Molecule: non-coding RNA, 73 nt
Organism: Paramuricea clavata
Lineage: Eukaryota; Metazoa; Cnidaria; Anthozoa; Malacalcyonacea; Plexauridae
Source: the annotation of a GenBank genome assembly